UAUUUAUUUAAAAAUUAUUAUUUGAAAGUGGCGAGUAUAUGUUCAGCUUAAUUAGUUUUAUAUAAAAAAAUAAAAUAAAUAAAAAUAAUAAUAAAUAGUUUAAUGGAAAUUUUUAAUAAAUUAAAAUUUUUAAUAAAAUUUUAAAAAUUAAAAGCGCUUACGAAACUUUUGAAUCUUUUAGGCCUACAUAGGUAAUGCGGUGGUUAAAAAUAGUAAUGUUAUAUUAUAGAAGGUUUUAGUAAUUUUUUCGGAUAAAUUGCACGUAUAGUCUUAUAAAUUUAAUUUUUUAUCGGCUUAAAU
This 300-nucleotide long non-coding RNA is filed under the name Ananas comosus (pineapple). RNAcentral describes it as "long non-coding RNA (ACOM_LNC041474)". The record is from RNAcentral. Lineage: Eukaryota; Viridiplantae; Streptophyta; Magnoliopsida; Poales; Bromeliaceae.